Molecule: ribosomal RNA, 254 nt
Filed under: uncultured bacterium
Lineage: Bacteria
Description: partial 16S ribosomal RNA
Rfam family: Bacterial small subunit ribosomal RNA
Source: RNAcentral
UACGAAGGUGGCAAGCGUUGUUCGGAUUUACUGGGCGUACAGGGAGCGUAGGCGGUUGGAUAAGCCCUCCGUGAAAUCUCCAGGCUUAACCUGGAAAGUGCAGAGGGGACUGUUCAGCUAGAGGAUGGGAGAGGAGCGCGGAAUUCCCGGUGUAGCGGUGAAAUGCGUAGAGAUCGGGAGGAAGGCCGGUGGCGAAGGCGGCGCUCUGGAACAUUUCUGACGCUGAGGCUCGAAAGCGUGAGGGAGCAAACAGG